Molecule: non-coding RNA, 139 nt
Organism: Arabidopsis thaliana (thale cress)
Lineage: Eukaryota; Viridiplantae; Streptophyta; Magnoliopsida; Brassicales; Brassicaceae
Gene: MIR774b
Product: microRNA ath-MIR774b precursor
Exons: 1
Source: RefSeq
GAGUGUUGAUUAUAUGGAUUCAUUUGAGAUGAAGAUAUGGGUGAUGAUCAAUGCUUACGAUUUUGGUCAAUUUAUGUUAGCAAUUUAAUUCUUUUUCAUCCAUAUUUUCAUCUCGAAUUUAAUCUUUAAAAAAGCGUUU